UACGUAGGGUGCGAGCGUUGUCCGGAAUUAUUGGGCGUAAAGAGCUCGUAGGCGGUCUGUCGCGUCGAUCGUGAAAACUUGGGGCUUAACCCUGAGCUUGCGGUCGAUACGGGCAUGACUGGAGUUCGGCAGGGGAGACUGGAAUUCCUGGUGUAGCGGUGAAAUGCGCAGGUAUCAGGAGGAAUACCGAUGGCGAAGGCAGGUCUCUGGGCUGACACUGACGCUCAUGCACGAAAGCGUGGGGAGCAAACAGG
Molecule: ribosomal RNA, 254 nt
Filed under: uncultured bacterium
Lineage: Bacteria
Description: partial 16S ribosomal RNA
Rfam family: Bacterial small subunit ribosomal RNA
Source: RNAcentral